Molecule: ribosomal RNA, 253 nt
Filed under: uncultured bacterium
Lineage: Bacteria
Description: partial 16S ribosomal RNA
Rfam family: Bacterial small subunit ribosomal RNA
Source: RNAcentral
UACGGGGGGGGCAAGCGUUGUCCGGAUUUAUUGGGCGUAAAGAGCGUGUAGGCGGCUUUACAGGUCCGUUGUGAAAACUCGAGGCUCAACCUCGAGACGCCGGUGGAAACCGUAAGGCUAGAGUCCGGAAGAGGAGAGUGGAAUUCCUGGUGUAGCGGUGAAAUGCGCAGAUAUCAGGAAGAACACCCGUGGCGAAGGCGGCUCUCUGGGACGGUACUGACGCUGAGACGCGAAAGCGUGGGGAGCGAACAGG